This 1139-nucleotide small RNA is filed under the name Populus tomentosa. RNAcentral's name for it is "miR482-miR1448 polycistron non-coding RNA". The record is from RNAcentral. Lineage: Eukaryota; Viridiplantae; Streptophyta; Magnoliopsida; Malpighiales; Salicaceae.
CAGGUCCACUCUCCACUCUCAAAUAGUGGCCAGAAUCUCUACUCUUUUUUUUUUUUACAUCUUAUCUCUACCCAACCACUUUUUUGUCAUGGCCCGACACAUUGGACUUGGAGCAUCAAACGCGUCUUUUUUAAACUGGUGUUGAGAGGUAAACAAAAAAAAAUUUGCUAGUUUGCUUUCUUUGCCUAUAUUAACACCAUCUACAAAGCCAUCGUCUUCAACUUGCUCCUGUCUAUGGUGUGUAAUAGAUGAGAGAAACGGAGAGUCUUAGCAAGUCUUUGGAGAUGGGAGAGUAUGCAAGAAGGAAAAAUUCAUGAUUUAAUAUCCCUUCUUGCCUACUCCUCCCAUUCCAUCUGCUUUCUGCGACUCCUCUCUUUCCUUAUUCUAGACAAAAGCGUGAUCUAAAAUUAAUCAAGGAGCAAGAGGGAAAGGAAAGAGGGUUGCUGGGAGUUACGGGUAUGGGAGGAUUGGACAGGACUGCUUGGUUUUAAUCAACCAAAGUCUGUUCUUUCCAACGCCUCCCAUACCGGUGAUCUCCAGCUGUUUCCUCCCUUUCCCUUGCUUGUCCUGCUUCAGAUCCUUCAGUUUGGUAAGAUCUGCCCCUGUAUGCAUGUCGUUGGUCUCAUGAUGAUGAUGAUGAUGAUGGCUGUUCUUUUGUUGUUUAAAAAAAAAAAUCAUUUCGUUUACUUGUUAAUCUUGCUUUUACUCGGGAUCAUGUUAUAUGUCUUGUAGAAAAAUUUUUUUUGCCCUUUUUUUUUGUUCAGGUGACGGAACCGAGUUGUUGGUUAUGGAGUAUCGUUGAGAAGAUUAGAGGAAGUUAUGAUCUGUUGGUAGAUCUGAGUAAAUCAUUUGUCAAUCCAGCUAAAUUUAAUAUUAUCAACUGAUAAAUCAUGUGUUUUGAUAUGACAACUGUGAUAUUCACAACAUAUCUGUUCACGCCUCUCCUAUUCGGGGGAUGCUGUCCCGUCUAGUUCUAUACUGCACUGCUUAGUUAACUCUGAUGUGACUUGAUCUGAUCUGUGAAUUUGGAAUGUGAUUUGAGCAUCUGUGCACGCGUUUCGCCUAUUAUGGAUGACCCCACCCUGAUUCAUACUAUAUGUGGGUGAGACCAUAUCAUACGGGUGUGGUCAGCUUUGUUU